Molecule: long non-coding RNA, 557 nt
Filed under: Helianthus annuus (common sunflower)
Lineage: Eukaryota; Viridiplantae; Streptophyta; Magnoliopsida; Asterales; Asteraceae
Description: hypothetical non coding rna
Source: RNAcentral
GUGAAAACCCUAAAACUAGUUCGAGUGUUCGCAUAUAUCGUCAUCAUCAGAUUGCAUACACCUGAACACAAAUUAAGAGCUAAAGCAAGUGAAUUUGGUGAAGUUGCAUUUGCUCAUGGUAGCACUAGGAAGCUUUCUCAUGCUUGUAAAUCUCAAGUUCUCUAUGGUGUUGACAAGUUAGGGGACUCUAUAAAUCAGAAGUACUAGCUUACAGGUGGCUUUUUGUUACUGAACGGGAUAUUAAGGGCCUACCUUAAUUACAGUGAGUUGGUUGAUGCGAUGACAACAAGCAGUAAGUGCAGAGAACUAUGAAGUGGGAAAUAUGAUUGCUUAGAAAGGGUUAACACGACGAUUAUUUUACUUGCAAACAAGAUUGUGUAAGAGAUUCACGAAUGUAUUGAAGUUUUGAGUUUCUAUUCAAACAUUUAUUGACUAUUUGUUUUGUAUGUUUGGUAUUUAGACAUAGGUUGACGCUUAUUAGACUUUUGUUUGCAAACAUUGGAAUCUUUGGAAGAUGAUUGAUUGAACUUUUUAAUUGAAGUGAUUAUAUUAUGAUU